AUCGCUUCUCGGCCUUUUGGCUAAGAUCAAGUGUAGUAUUUAUUUAUUGUAAAGAAUUGGCUGAGGUGAUUAUGGAAGCUGAGAAAUCCA
Molecule: small nuclear RNA, 90 nt
Filed under: Rhinolophus ferrumequinum (greater horseshoe bat)
Lineage: Eukaryota; Metazoa; Chordata; Mammalia; Chiroptera; Rhinolophidae
Description: U2 spliceosomal RNA (ENSRFEG00010016523.1)
Rfam family: U2 spliceosomal RNA
About the family: U2 is a small nuclear RNA (snRNA) component of the spliceosome (involved in pre-mRNA splicing). Complementary binding between U2 snRNA (in an area lying towards the 5' end but 3' to hairpin I) and the branchpoint sequence (BPS) of the intron results the bulging out of an unpaired adenosine, on the BPS, which initiates a nucleophilic attack at the intronic 5' splice site, thus starting the first of two transesterification reactions that mediate splicing.
Source: Rfam by way of RNAcentral